Molecule: ribosomal RNA, 491 nt
Filed under: Coloceras sp. JDW-2010
Lineage: Eukaryota; Metazoa; Arthropoda; Insecta; Psocodea; Philopteridae
Description: partial 16S ribosomal RNA
Rfam family: Bacterial large subunit ribosomal RNA
Source: RNAcentral
UCCUCAUUUAAUUAUUUGAGGUAUGGCCUGCUCAAUGCAUUGUGUAAAUAGCCGCAGUACUCUGACUGUGCAAAGGUAGCAUAAUAAAUUGGCCUUUAAUUGAGGUCUGGAAUGAAUGGUUUGACAAGGGUUUGACUGUCUUGAAAUAAUAUUUUUUGAAAUUGAAUUGUUUGUAAAAAUGCAAACAUGAUAGAGAGGGACGAGAAGACCCUAUAGAUCUUUAAAGAGUUGUUAAAAAAUUAAUUUGAUUGACUCUUUUUAUUUGGGGAAAAUCCUGAAAUAUUGACUGAGAACUUCGGUUAACUAUAAAAAUAUAAAAAUUUAGUUUAGAUCCACUUAAAGUGAAAGAAUGAAAAAGUUACCUUAGGGAUAACAGGACAAUGAUCUUUUAGGAGGUCUUAUCUUAAAAGACGUUUGUUACCUCGAUGUUGAAUUAAGUUAUCUAAUUAAAGAAGAAAUUUUUAAAGUUGGUCUGUUCGACCAUUAAAAAC